Molecule: ribosomal RNA, 500 nt
Filed under: uncultured bacterium
Lineage: Bacteria
Description: partial 16S ribosomal RNA
Rfam family: Bacterial small subunit ribosomal RNA
Source: RNAcentral
AUUGAACGCUGGCGGCAUGCCUUACACAUGCAAGUCGAACGGCAGCACGGGAGCAAUCCUGGUGGCGAGUGGCGAACGGGUGAGUAAAGUAUCGGAACGUGCCCAGUCGUGGGGGAUAACGUAGCGAAAGUUACGCUAAUACCGCAUACGAUCUAUGGAUGAAAGCGGGGGAUCGCAAGACCUCGCGCGAUUGGAGCGGCCGAUAUCAGAUUAGGUAGUUGGUGGGGUAAAGGCUCACCAAGCCGACGAUCUGUAGCUGGUCUGAGAGGACGACCAGCCACACUGGGACUGAGACACGGCCCAGACUCCUACGGGAGGCAGCAGUGGGGAAUUUUGGACAAUGGGCGCAAGCCUGAUCCAGCCAUGCCGCGUGCAGGAUGAAGGCCUUCGGGUUGUAAACUGCUUUUGUACGGAACGAAAAGGUUUGGCUUAAUACGCUGAACUCAUGACGGUACCGUAAGAAUAAGCACCGGCUAACUACGUGCCAGCCGCCGCAGUAA